This is a non-coding RNA of Acanthosepion pharaonis, 99 nucleotides long. The record is from the annotation of a GenBank genome assembly. Lineage: Eukaryota; Metazoa; Mollusca; Cephalopoda; Sepiida; Sepiidae.
ACAUCACGUUGAAACACCGAUUCCCGUAUGAUCACCGACGUUAAGCAAUGUCGAACCUGGUCAGUACCUAGAUGGGUGACCGCUUGGGAAAACCAGGAA